GAAUUCCGGUCUCCUCUCCAG
This 21-nucleotide microRNA is filed under the name Mus musculus (house mouse). RNAcentral describes it as "mmu-miR-6906-3p". The record is from miRBase by way of RNAcentral. Lineage: Eukaryota; Metazoa; Chordata; Mammalia; Rodentia; Muridae.